This 227-nucleotide ribosomal RNA is filed under the name uncultured bacterium. RNAcentral's name for it is "partial 16S ribosomal RNA". It matches the Rfam family "Bacterial small subunit ribosomal RNA", at positions 109 to 334 of the family's 1533-position model. The record is from RNAcentral.
AGUAACGCGUGAGCAAUCUGCCUUUAAGAGGGGGAUAACAGUCGGAAACGGCUGCUAAUACCGCAUAAAGCAUCAAAUUCGCAUGUUUUUGAUGCCAAAGGAGCAAUCCACUUUUAGAUGAGCUCGCGUCUGAUUAGCUGGUUGGCGGGGUAACGGCCUACCAAGCCGACGAUCAGUAGCCGACCUGAGAGGGUGACCGGCCACAUUGGGACUGAGACACGGCCCAA